GUGUAAAUCUACUGAAGGAGAAUCACCAGAGAGCUGGGUGACAGUGAGAGGCGUAACUCCUGGACCCUCUACAUCAGUCCUAGUAGUAGUGGUUGUGGGCCUGGUUGUUGCUGGUGUUCUACUGGCCAUUCUCCUGGUACUGCUGUGUCGAUAUAAAAACGCCAAAGGUUCCUGUUGUAACAGGAUAUUCUCGCCCCCCCAGCCACACAGCACCAACCUGGACCCCCA
Molecule: long non-coding RNA, 228 nt
Organism: Coregonus clupeaformis (lake whitefish)
Lineage: Eukaryota; Metazoa; Chordata; Actinopteri; Salmoniformes; Salmonidae
Exons: 4
Source: RefSeq, a predicted model, not a curated record